Molecule: transfer RNA, 64 nt
Filed under: Rattus norvegicus (Norway rat)
Lineage: Eukaryota; Metazoa; Chordata; Mammalia; Rodentia; Muridae
Rfam family: tRNA
About the family: Transfer RNA (tRNA) molecules are approximately 80 nucleotides in length. Their secondary structure includes four short double-helical elements and three loops (D, anti-codon, and T loops).
Source: Rfam by way of RNAcentral
GGGGAUUUAGCUCAGUGGUAGAGCGCUUGCCUAGCAAGCACAAGGCCCUGGGUUUCAGUCCCCA